UGGGGAAUUUUGGACAAUGGGGGAAACCCUGAUCCAGCCAUCCCGCGUGUGCGAUGAAGGCCUUCGGGUUGUAAAGCACUUUUGGCAGGAAAGAAACGUCAUGGGUUAAUACCCCGUGAAACUGACGGUACCUGCAGAAUAAGCACCGGCUAACUACGUGCCAGCAGCCGCGGUAAUACGUAGGGUGCAAGCGUUAAUCGGAAUUACUGGGCGUAAAGCGUGCGCAGGCGGUUCGGAAAGAAAGAUGUGAAAUCCCAGAGCUCAACUUUGGAACUGCAUUUUUAACUACCGGGCUAGAGUGUGUCAGAGGGAGGUGGAAUUCCGCGUGUAGCAGUGAUAUGCGUAGAUAUGCGGAGGAACACCGAUGGCGAAGGCAGCCUCCUGGGAUAACACUGACGCUCAUGCACGAAAGCGUGGGGAGCAAACAGG
Molecule: ribosomal RNA, 429 nt
Filed under: Acidobacteriota bacterium
Lineage: Bacteria; Pseudomonadati; Acidobacteriota
Description: Acidobacteria bacterium partial 16S ribosomal RNA
Rfam family: Bacterial small subunit ribosomal RNA
Source: RNAcentral